AUGGCGACUACAGAGCCGAAUGCAAAAAACUGGCUGUUUACCCUGAUCGAGAGCCUGUCGCAUGAGAACUUUGCCUUGUUGGCGGUCACGGCGUGGGCGAUCUGGCAUGCUCGCCGUAAAGCGAUUCAUGAGGCAAUCUUCCAAAGCCCCCAUCAGACACACUCCUUCAUCAUAAGGUUUAUAGCAGAACUCGGUGUGAUCAACGAUACAAACCGACGCCCACGCCAACAACCACAAAGACAGAAUCCCAAGAAACCACCACCCGGAGCAUGCAAAAUACAUGUCGAUGCUGCUGCUCGCGCCAGAAGAGGGGGAUCGGCGGCUGCAGUAUGUAGAGAUGAGGCGGGGAACUAUAUUGGGGCAUCAGCGCUGGUUUUGGAGGGUGUCACUGACCCUGCGUCCUUGGAAGCAAUAGCAUGUCGUGAGGCGUUGUGUUUGGCGGAAGAUCUGAAUAUCAACAAUUUCGUCAUUGCAUCAGAUUGCAAACAGGUAGUGGCAGACAUUGGCCACAAUGCUAGAGGAAGAUAUGGGGCGAUCAUCAGCGAGAUUCAUUUGAGAAUUGUUAAUGUCCAAUGUAAAUUUACUUUCGAGUGUCGUGCUGCGAAUUAUGAAGCACAUAGUUUAGCAAAAUUUUCCCUUUCUAGAGGUCCUGGCCGUCACGUCUGGUUUGGCGUUCCUCAUAACCAGAACCUUAUCCCACUUCAUGUGGAUUUUGAUGAAUAA
RNAcentral lists this ribosomal RNA (723 nucleotides) under Triticum aestivum (bread wheat). RNAcentral describes it as "partial small subunit ribosomal RNA". Lineage: Eukaryota; Viridiplantae; Streptophyta; Magnoliopsida; Poales; Poaceae. The record is from RNAcentral.